AGCACCGGCUAACUCCGUGCCAGCAGCCGCGGUAAUACGGAGGGUGCGAGCGUUAAUCGGAAUUACUGGGCGUAAAGCGCAUGCAGGUGGUUUGUUAAGUCAGAUGUGAAAGCCCGGGGCUCAACCUCGGAAUUGCAUUUGAAACUGGCAGACUAGAGUACUGUAGAGGGGGGUAGAAUUUCAGGUGUAGCGGUGAAAUGCGUAGAGAUCUGAAGGAAUACCGGUGGCGAAGGCGGCCCCCUGGACAGAUACUGACACUCAGAUGCGAAAGCGUGGGGAGCAAACAGGAUUAGAUACCCUGGUAGUCCACGCCGUAAACGAUGUCUACUUGGAGGUUGUGGCCUUGAGCCGUGGCUUUCGGAGCUAACGCGUUAAGUAGACCGCCUGGGGAGUACGGUCGCAAGAUUAAAACUCAAAUGAAUUGACGGGGGCCCGCACAAGCGGUGGAGCAUGUGGUUUAAUUCGAUGCAACGCGAAGAACCUUACCUACUCUUGACAUCCAGAGAACUUUCCAGAGAUGGAUUGGUGCCUUCGGGAACUCUGAGACAGGUGCUGCAUGGCUGUCGUCAGCUCGUGUUGUGAAAUGUUGGGUUAAGUCCCGCAACGAGCGCAACCCUUAUCCUUGUUUGCCAGCGAGUAAUGUCGGGAACUCCAGGGAGACUGCCGGUGAUAAACCGGAGGAAGGUGGGGACGACGUCAAGUCAUCAUGGCCCUUACGAGUAGGGCUACACACGUGCUACAAUGGCGCAUACAGAGGGCGGCCAACUUGCGAAAGUGAGCGAAUCCCAAAAAGUGCGUCGUAGUCCGGAUUGGAGUCUGCAACUCGACUCCAUGAAGUCGGAAUCGCUAGUAAUCGUGGAUCAGAAUGCCACGGUGAAUACGUUCCCGGGCCUUGUACACACCGCCCGUCACACCAUGGGAGUGGGCUGCAAAAGAAGUAGGUAGUUUAACCUUCGGGGGGACGCUUACCACUUUGUGGUUCAUGACUGGGGUGAAGUCGUAACAAGGUAGCGCUAGGGGAACCUGGCGCUGGAUCACCUCCUUAAACGAUGAU
RNAcentral lists this ribosomal RNA (1054 nucleotides) under Vibrio parahaemolyticus. Its description in RNAcentral is "bacterial SSU rRNA". It matches the Rfam family "Bacterial small subunit ribosomal RNA", at positions 488 to 1533 of the family's 1533-position model. Lineage: Bacteria; Pseudomonadati; Pseudomonadota; Gammaproteobacteria; Vibrionales; Vibrionaceae. The record is from RNAcentral.